This is a long non-coding RNA of Coffea arabica (coffee), 651 nucleotides long. RefSeq lists it as uncharacterized. NCBI's taxonomy places the organism in Eukaryota, Viridiplantae, Streptophyta, Magnoliopsida, Gentianales, Rubiaceae. The record is from RefSeq and is a predicted model, not a curated record.
CUCUCUCUUGCUCCCUCAUUUGGCCGGCUAACAAAGGAGAAAAACAACUCAAAUUCCAUCCAAAUUUCUUCACCAAAUCUUCUCCAUUUCACUUCAAAUUUCAACCACUCUUAGCUAAUUACUUGGAGAUUACAUCAAGCUAAGAAAGAGGGCUGCUAUCCACGGUUUUCUUGACCAUCUAAGGGGCCGAAAUUCUGUCCUAGUUCAUCAAGAGAGGCACUCAAGGGAAUCUCCCAGAGGAACUCGGAGCGGACACCUAAGACGCUUGUUUAAGAACUACUCGCUUGUUUUGACUAGGGUUCGAGACCAAGGGUGCUCGUGAGUAGUACUAGAUUGUUUUCUUUUGAAAACUUUAAGUUAUAUUAUAACGGAUGGCUAUUGUACCCUUUUCCGUUGGGUUGUAUUUAAGCUUGGAAGCUGCAUAAUUGUAAGUGUGAGAUAUUUGGAGUACUUUAAUUAUGUAUUGAAGUUACUUAAAGUAUUUCGAGCUUUUGAAUGAUGGAUUGUAGUGAGUCCUGGCAAGAGCUGGGCAGGCGUCCCGCGGAUACCCUUUGGUUCGCCUUAGGGAGAAGUGGGGGCGUUACAAGUUGGGCAUUUGAAAAUGCUAUAUCUUGGCAAUAACAUUCGGAAGGUUACUUUUUUGGUUUGUUA